This 73-nucleotide transfer RNA is filed under the name Bos taurus (domestic cattle). It matches the Rfam family "tRNA". From Rfam's summary of the family: Transfer RNA (tRNA) molecules are approximately 80 nucleotides in length. Their secondary structure includes four short double-helical elements and three loops (D, anti-codon, and T loops). Lineage: Eukaryota; Metazoa; Chordata; Mammalia; Artiodactyla; Bovidae. RNAcentral also lists the same sequence under 5 other names. The record is from Rfam by way of RNAcentral.
UCUCUGGUGGUCCAGUGGCUGGGACUCUGCGCUCUCAGCGCCGAGGGCCCAGGUUCAAUCCCUGCUCAGGGAA